This 486-nucleotide ribosomal RNA is filed under the name uncultured amoeba. RNAcentral describes it as "SSU rRNA". It matches the Rfam family "Eukaryotic small subunit ribosomal RNA", at positions 755 to 1112 of the family's 1831-position model. The record is from RNAcentral.
CCGUAAUUAAACUGAAUUGUUGCCUAUUGUUAUUAGGCCCCGAAUACCUUAGCAUGGGAUAAUGGAAUAGGACCCUGUCCUCCUAUUUUCAGUUGGUUUUGGCACCGCGAGGACUAGGGUAAUGAUUAAUAGGGAUAGUUGGGGGCAUUAAUAUUUAAUUGUCAGAGGUGAAAUUCUUGGAUUUAUGAAAGAUUAACUUCUGCGAAAGCAUCUGCCAAGGAUGUUUUCAUUAAUCAAGAACGAAAGUUAGGGGAUCGAAGACGAUCAGAUACCGUCGUAGUCUUAACCAUAAACGAUGCCGACCAGUGAUUAGGAGACGUUGAAUACUAAACACCACCAUCGGCGCGGUCGUCCUUGGCGCUUCGUGUUCCGCACGAGCGCGCGAGGGCGGUUUAGCCCCGUGGCACCGGAGAAUGACUCCCCUAGCCACUUGUGAGAAUACUUAACCUUCUUCGCCAACACCGAGUUAUACCAUCCUAACACUUU